Molecule: long non-coding RNA, 1220 nt
Filed under: Rattus norvegicus (Norway rat)
Lineage: Eukaryota; Metazoa; Chordata; Mammalia; Rodentia; Muridae
Description: long non-coding RNA NONRATT010200
Source: RNAcentral
CUUCCUGAUGCAUAAUUAGUUGGAUACAAGAUAAUAUUUGGUUUUCUCAUUUGAAUUCUGAGGUGCUAAAAAAAUAACAAAAAAAUCUUUUACCAGCUAGAAUAUUAGGAGGAAUUUUUAGAGUGCUUAGCAGAGAGUAUCAUUUAUUUUAAAUUGGUCAAAAUAAAUAAUUUUGAUGAGUUGUUUAUAAAGGCAUGUCUUUGGAUCAUACAACCCUUUAUAUAUAUCCAAUGUACCAAUGUCAACUAACAAGGAAACAAACAUAAUUUUUCUAGGUGUUUCAAGCUUUGAGAUUGUCUAUUUCUACAAUUUAGUUUCUAGACAUGCUGUAUUUAAUAAACUUUAUGUAACAUUUAAAGUCUUGCACUGCACUAGCAAACAGAAGCUUUCUCUGCCUAUCACUGAAGCUAUCUAAUGUCUUAGGAAGCUAACGCAUGUCCAUUAUUGAGGCUAAAAGCUCUUGUUCAGAUUGCUUGAGAUGUGUGCUAGCUUUGCUAGUUUUCUGACUUUUGGUGUAGAUGUAUUACAUUAGAAUGUGUGUACUGGAAAUGCUAUGAUAGGUAUUUUAUGUUUUUCUAAAUGCAAUGAUAGUUUCUUGUAUGAAUGUGCAAGAAUCCUGUGACAGAAUGCUGUUUUUACUGUAGUUUAAGGUUAUAAAGUAGGGAUGCAACAAUUCCUGGAUAGCUUCUAAAUUUGUGAUUUGAUUCACAGUCAAUAUUCUUUGUUGUCGAAAAAUGAAAUGGUCUUAUUAUGUAAUAUUUAAUGGUUAUUGGCAGGGGGAAUGAGAAGAAAUUUGUCAUAGUUUAAAAGAGAAUAAUUGUGAUUUUUCAAAACUUCCCUCUAUUUUCUGGAAAUAUUUAUGAGUUUGUUUAAUACAGAAGGAUCUUUGUAAUUGUCAUAACUGAGUUAUAAUUUAAAACUUCCUUUAAACUGCUAUAGUUUUAGUGUCUAAGAGAAAUUUGUUUAUAUAUAUAUCAUAUCUUCUUGCAUAGAAACAUCCUUCAAUUGUUGUAUUACUAUAGUCUGAAGGCAUUUAGACAAGUUUUUGUGCUUGCAGCAGAGCCUGCAGUAGCGAUACAAAGGACAUUGGUCUUUUGACAAAAUACUUGUGUAAAGUUUGAUACUGUACGAAAACUAUUUUUUUAAAGUUCCAUAUAAAAUUGAGUAUUAAGUAUAUGUGAACAUCUUAGCGACAGUAAUAAAUUAUUUAAUCUCACAGU